GACGAACGCUGGCGGCGUGCUUAACACAUGCAAGUCGAACGGAAAGGCCCUGCUUUUGUGGGGUGCUCGAGUGGCGAACGGGUGAGUAACACGUGAGUAACCUGCCCUUGACUUUGGGAUAACUUCAGGAAACUGGGGCUAAUACCGGAUAGGAGCUCCUGCUGCAGGGUGGGGGUUGGAAAGUUUCGGCGGUUGGGGAUGGACUCGCGGCUUAUCAGCUUGUUGGUGGGGGAGUGGCUUACCAAGGCUUUGACGGGUAGCCGGCCUGAGAGGGUGACCGGCCACCUUGGGACUGCGAUACGGCCCAGACUCCUACGGGAGGCAGCAGUGGGGAAUAUUGCCCAAUGGGCGGAAGCCUGAUGCAGCAACGCCGCGUGCGGGAUGACGGCCUUCGGGUUGUAAACCGCUUUCGCCUGUGACGAAGCGUGAGUGACGGUAAUGGGUAAAGAAGCACCGGCUAACUACGUG
RNAcentral lists this ribosomal RNA (468 nucleotides) under uncultured bacterium. RNAcentral describes it as "partial 16S ribosomal RNA". It matches the Rfam family "Bacterial small subunit ribosomal RNA", at positions 28 to 507 of the family's 1533-position model. The record is from RNAcentral.